GAAGAGGCAGAUAUGUCCUCACCCACACAGCGAACCUACAGCAGCUCCCUCAAACGCUCCAGCCCCAGGACCAUCUCCUUUCGGAUGAAACCCAAGAAAGAAAACUCGGAAACAACCCUAACUCGCAGUGCCAGCAUGAAGCUCCCAGACAACACAGUGAAGUUGGGAGAGAAGCUGGAGAGAUACCACACGGCCAUACGGAGAUCAGAAUCUGUCAAGUCUCGGGGUCUGCCUUGCACUGAGUUAUUCGUGGCUCCUGUGGGUGUAGCCAGCAAGCGCCACCUCUUUGAGAAGGAACUGGCGGGCCAGAGCCGAGCAGAACCAGCCUCCAGCCGGAAGGAGAACUUGAGGCUCUCAGGGGUUGUGACAUCAAGGCUCAACCUGUGGAUCAGCAGGACCCAGGAAUCUGGAGAUCAGGACCCCCAGGAGGCACAGAAAGCAUCAUCUGCAACCGAGAGGACUCAGUGGGGACAGAAAUCUGACUCCUCGCUGGACGCUGAGUCCCCGCUGAGACUGAGCAGACGCCUCCAGGAUCUGUCGGCAGCUGCUGUUCUGAGGGAGAGCAGAGACCAUGUCUGACAU
RNAcentral lists this long non-coding RNA (582 nucleotides) under Homo sapiens (human). RNAcentral describes it as "novel transcript". The record is from RNAcentral. Lineage: Eukaryota; Metazoa; Chordata; Mammalia; Primates; Hominidae.